UGGGGAGGGGAAGGGGCAGAGGCUUCCUGCGCCGGGGACCCGCAGGUUGGGCCUGCCUCUCUCUUCACGUUCUUCACACGCGCGGGUCAGGUGGGGUCGACCCGCCCCAAAGAGCCGAGGGGGCUUGGGCGGUGCUUGUGGGGAGAGGGCGGGGCAUCAAUGGAGAGCCUAGGCGCCGGUUUUCCCAGUGGACCAGAGGUAAGGCUCUCUGGGAGCUGAGUGCCUAGGGACUGUCGGCUGUGGCGGGGUUUCCCUUCCUGAAUUGGGCGGGGAAUCGGCGAUCUGGGAACUCCGUUGCUGGUUCUCCCACGCUUAGCUGGUCUUGGUGCUUGGGAGUGUGCUCCCGAGCUUGUCGAAGUUCGGCUCGGAGAAAAGCCGAGAGCUCUCCUCACCUUUGGGAAACUUCUAUCUGGCCGGACCCCCGCCUGCGGGGUCCCUUUCUCAGAGUUUCCUUUUCCACCACCUUCCCAUUUGACUCUGUCUGAGGUACCUUCGCUGGCUCCCCUUAGGAGUCGCUGCCCUGCUUCCCCCGGCUCCGCAGGCAGUCCGGCGCGCCUCGUGGCCACCGCGUCCGGAGAUGCUGCUUCGGCCCCUGGGCCGAGGGCUGCCCAGCCAUUCAAAGACUUUAAUAGAGAGAAAUAGGAUCAUAGCGUUUAGAGCUGGGAAAGAGCUUAACAAGUCCAACAAGCCUAUCCACUUAUUUAAAAGGUGAGGUACAGCUUCCUGGCCCUUAGGCAGUUUUUUUGUAUGCCACUAGUGAAACCUGCCGACUUCCCGUUUCUAAAUAACGUUUGAAAACGAGCAAAGUAAAACACAUAGUAUUUCAGAGGAAACCAAGUUAUUUAAAAAAAAAAUGCGUAUCAAGUUCACAACCCCUGGGCGAGAACUAUGGUUAGAUGACAAACCAAGUUCACACAAGUUAGUAGUUGUACCAAGGUCUGCUGACACUGGCUCUCUGCUUCCCCGUCGAACCCUUCACUUCUCUGUUCCCACCUCCAACGGAGUGUGUGUAUAUUGUAAGCCUUCGAGAUCAAGAAGGGAGUCUUCUUAUAAUCACAGAAUUUCAGAGUUGGAAGGGAUCUUGGCAAUGGUCUAGCACAAUCCAUAUACAAAGUACCAACCAAGUGGCAGAAUGACACCUGAGAUGAAUCAGCCCAAGAAUUACUGAUAUUGAUGAAUUCACAAAACCUCUGCUUCUUCUUCAGGGGACAAGAUUUCCCAGUCACUUUCCCAGCAUCAUCUGGUCAAAGUUCAUUUGAGUAGGUGGAAUAGAAGACAGAUUAAGGAUUUCCCUGAGAUAAGCAGGAAAGAAAGAAGAGAAGGAAACACAUAAGAAACUGCUAAAUCCUGGUUAACAACCUAAGAAGCUCGUGCCAUCAAGUUCUCUGUUAAAGUAGCAAAUGGAAAAGGGUUACUAACAACUUCACAGUAAGAUAGAAGCUGACCAGAGACCUAAGGAAAUACACAAUGGUAACAAAAAUGAGAAAAAAGUAUGCCUUAUUGUUUGGUCAUGUCUGACUCUUCAAGACCAUAUUUGAGGUUUUCUUGGCAAAGAUAUUGGAGUAGUUCUCCAGAUCAUUUUAUAGAAGAGAAACUGAGGCAAACAGUGCUAAGCAACUUACCCAGGGUCACACAAUUUGUGUCUGAGGCCAGAUUUAAACUCAAGAAGAUGAAUCUUUGUGACUUGACUCUAGACCUGGUGCUCUAGCCACUGCCCUCCCUAGCUUUCGCUGUCCUAGGGGACCUCUCAAUCAAGAGUUCCAAGAGUCAGCUUGAGAAAGCUGAGCUGGUAGUCUGAUAUAGCCAUAACUGUCAAAAACAUUAUUUGUCUUCUUGAAUAUAGGUAUUUUAGGAGGGAGGAAUGAACCAACCUUUGUAGCUACCAGUCUAGAGUCUCAUAGGCACUUAGAUUUGAAGUUGUUUUUCUAUAGGAUCAUAGUUUCAAUUUGGAAGUGAUCUUGGAGAUCAUUGAGUUCAAUCUCUUCAUUUUAAGAGGAAUCUGUGUCCCAUAAAGUUCCAGUGACUUGUCCAACUUUUCAAGGUAGUAAGUGGCAGAGCUGGGAUGCAACUCUAGGUCUUCUGACUUCAAAUUUCAAUCCCUGAGACCUCCCUUCUCAAAGUGGAAUUCAGGGGAGAGAGCAGAUGUAAAGGAAAAAUGGUUUGGGGGGAUGGUAAAGGGAACAGGAUAUAGGAGAGGACAGCUGGUGUUUAGGGUUGGCUCAGAGAGAGGAGAGGGGGUUUGAAGAUUUUCCCCCUUCUGUCUUCCCUCCUUAACUAUGGCUGCUCUUCCAGAUUUUCUCUUGUCCCCCUUCCACUACUCAAGACCAAAGAGCUUUUUCUUAAGAAGAUGCCUCUCCCCUUGAUCUGUUCACUCACACUUGAUUCAUAGCUUGGAGAAAAGAUCACUACUUUAAUGUCAAUUAACUCAAUCAGAGUAAUAAAGGAAUAACUGGCAGGGAAAAGAAUGGGAAAGGAAAGUGGGAAAAAGGAGACCCUUUUUUUUUCUCGCUAAAACCCUUUUCCUCCCUCCUCGAGUUUGGGGGGAACUCAGGCUUUGGCAGCCCAAGACCCAUGAGAGAAAGUCAGGUUGACUGACCCUGGGUUUGGCCCCUUGGCCACAGUUCAGACCCAGGGCAACAGGAGCUGAAGUAAAGUCUGACAGAGAUUCAAAAUGCCUUUUCUCAGGUUUUUUCUUCACUUAGUCUCUUCAAUUGGAAAAUGUUGGGGGAGGAAGGAUUUCCAGUCUCAAGGAGGAAAAAGUGGGUAACCCUCAGGAGAAAGUUUUACUCAACUUUCUCACUUCAACUUCUGCAGAUUGAGAGACCAAGUGCUCUUCUGAGGGAACUUCCUGCUUCUCCUCAAGAUUCCAUCCUCCUCCAGCCUGUCCCCCAUGAGUUGAUCAGAUCCACACAAUCUUCAGCCUAGCACUUUUUUUAUGUGCCAGCCUAUGUCACAAUAAUUUACAUAUUUUGUUUAAUAUCAAUAUUGUUUAAAUUAGGAAAACUUGACCCAGACUGGUUAACUGAAAUGACUAUUUUCCUGGAUUUGAUGCUAUCUAGACACUCUACAUUCAAUAUUCAGAGCCUUUUAUGAAUUAAUUUUCAACUUUUUAUUCUUCCACUGUUUUUGAAACCAAGCAGAUGUAUAGCAGAGCUGCAUUUUUAUGUGUGACAGUUCCAAAAUCUUUCUCCCAAGUGAAUGAUAAUGUUGAUGGAACCAUGGAAGCAACACCAACAAAGACAUUUUAUCAUUUCAAGGUUCCAUGGUCAGGAAAUCUAAUGUGCUACUAGAGAGUGCCUAAAGAUGAAUGUACAAUACUACCAAAAGCUUCUAAGAAGUCUAUUCAAAAGUGAUUAAAAUACAAUGAAUCUAGAUUUUUUCUUUGUGCAAGUAUAACCAAGAUAUAUUAUGAAAUUAUAUGUAUAUUAUAUUUAAUAUAUAUAGCAUUCUGAAGUCAGCAGAUGAUAUAAUCUAUUAAUAACUGCAUACUGUAUUGCAUCCUUUCAUGGACACUUUGAUUUAAAAUAAAAUAAAAUUUUGUUUUUUUAUUGAUA
Long non-coding RNA from Monodelphis domestica (gray short-tailed opossum), 3554 nucleotides. RefSeq lists it as uncharacterized. Lineage: Eukaryota; Metazoa; Chordata; Mammalia; Didelphimorphia; Didelphidae. The record is from RefSeq and is a predicted model, not a curated record.